Molecule: ribosomal RNA, 253 nt
Filed under: uncultured bacterium
Lineage: Bacteria
Description: partial 16S ribosomal RNA
Rfam family: Bacterial small subunit ribosomal RNA
Source: RNAcentral
UACGUAGGGGGCUAGCGUUGUCCGGAAUCAUUGGGCGUAAAGAGCGUGUAGGCGGUUAUGCAGGUCCGCUGUGAAAACUGGAGGCUUAACCUCCAGACGUCGGUGGAAACCGUAUGACUAGAGUCCGGAAGAGGAGAGUGGAAUUCCUGGUGUAGCGGUGAAAUGCGCAGAUAUCAGGAAGAACACCCGUGGCGAAGGCGGCUCUCUGGGACGGUACUGACGCUGAGACGCGAAAGCGUGGGGAGCGAACAGG